Molecule: ribosomal RNA, 1419 nt
Filed under: Klebsiella pneumoniae
Lineage: Bacteria; Pseudomonadati; Pseudomonadota; Gammaproteobacteria; Enterobacterales; Enterobacteriaceae
Description: bacterial SSU rRNA
Rfam family: Bacterial small subunit ribosomal RNA
Source: RNAcentral
UCCGUAACAUGCAAGUCGAGCGGUAGCACAGAGAGCUUGCUCUCGGGUGACGAGCGGCGGACGGGUGAGUAAUGUCUGGGAAACUGCCUGAUGGAGGGGGAUAACUACUGGAAACGGUAGCUAAUACCGCAUAACGUCGCAAGACCAAAGUGGGGGACCUUCGGGCCUCAUGCCAUCAGAUGUGCCCAGAUGGGAUUAGCUAGUAGGUGGGGUAACGGCUCACCUAGGCGACGAUCCCUAGCUGGUCUGAGAGGAUGAUCCGCCACACUGGAACUGAGACACGGUCCAGACUCCUACGGGAGGCAGCAGUGGGGAAUAUUGCACAAUGGGCGCAAGCCUGAUGCAGCCAUGCCGCGUGUGUGAAGAAGGCCUUCGGGUUGUAAAGCACUUUCAGCGGGGAGGAAGGCGUUGAGGUUAAUAACCUUGUCGAUUGACGUUACCCGCAGAAGAAGCACCGGCUAACUCCGUGCCAGCAGCCGCGGUAAGAAGGAGGGUGCAAGCGUUAAUCGGAAUUACUGGGCGUAAAGCGCACGCAGGCGGUCUGUCAAGUCGGAUGUGAAAUCCCCGGGCUCAACCUGGGAACUGCAUUCGAAACUGGCAGGCUAGAGUCUUGUAGAGGGGGGUAGAAUUCCAGGUGUAGCGGUGAAAUGCGUAGAGAUCUGGAGGAAUACCGGUGGCGAAGGCGGCCCCCUGGACAAAGACUGACGCUCAGGUGCGAAAGCGUGGGGAGCAAACAGGAUUAGAUACCCUGGUAGUCCACGCCGUAAACGAUGUCGAUUUGGAGGUUGUGCCCUUGAGGCGUGGCUUCCGGAGCUAACGCGUUAAAUCGACCGCCUGGGGAGUACGGCCGCAAGGUUAAAACUCAAAUGAAUUGACGGGGGCCCGCACAAGCGGUGGAGCAUGUGGUUUAAUUCGAUGCAACGCGAGUAACCUUACCUGGUCUUGACAUCCACAGAACUUUCCAGAGAUGGAUUGGUGCCUUCGGGAACUGUGAGACAGGUGCUGCAUGGCUGUCGUCAGCUCGUGUUGUGAAAUGUUGGGUUAAGUCCCGCAACGAGCGCAACCCUUAUCCUUUGUUGCCAGCGGUUCGGCCGGGAACUCAAAGGAGACUGCCAGUGAUAAACUGGAGGAAGGUGGGGAUGACGUCAAGUCAUCAUGGCCCUUACGACCAGGGCUACACACGUGCUACAAUGGCAUAUACAAAGAGAAGCGACCUCGCGAGAGCAAGCGGACCUCAUAAAGUAUGUCGUAGUCCGGAUUGGAGUCUGCAACUCGACUCCAUGAAGUCGGAAUCGCUAGUAAUCGUAGAUCAGAAUGCUACGGUGAAUACGUUCCCGGGCCUUGUACACACCGCCCGUCACACCAUGGGAGUGGGUUGCAAAAGAAGUAGGUAGCUUAACCUUCGGGAGGGCGUACUCG